GACGAACGCUGGCGGCGUGCCUAAUACAUGCAAGUCGAACGAAGCUGUUUUAACUGGUGCUUGCACCGACUUAAACAACUGAGUGGCGAACGGGUGAGUAACACGUGGGUAACCUGCCCCAAAGCGGGGGAUAACAUUUGGAAACAGAUGCUAAUACCGCAUAACCACAGAAACCACAUGGUUUCUGUGUCAAAGAUGGUUUCGGCUAUCACUUUGGGAUGGACCCGCGGCGUAUUAGCUAGUUGGUAAGGUAAUGGCUUACCAAGGCAAUGGUACGUAGCCGAACUGAGAGGUUGAUCGGCCACAUUGGGACUGAGACACGGCCCAAACGCCUACGGGAGGCAGCAGUAGGGAAUCUUCCACAAUGGACGAAAGUCUGAUGGAGCAACGCCGCGUGAGUGAAGAAGGUUUUCGGAUCGUAAAACUCUGUUGUCAGAGAAGAACGUGUGCGAGAGUAACUGUUCGUGCAGUGACGGUAUCUGGCCAGAAAGCCACGGCUGACUACGUGCCAGCCGCCGCGGUAA
This 524-nucleotide ribosomal RNA is filed under the name uncultured bacterium. Its description in RNAcentral is "partial 16S ribosomal RNA". It matches the Rfam family "Bacterial small subunit ribosomal RNA", at positions 28 to 523 of the family's 1533-position model. The record is from RNAcentral.